Molecule: transfer RNA, 74 nt
Organism: Pelodiscus sinensis (Chinese soft-shelled turtle)
Lineage: Eukaryota; Metazoa; Chordata; Testudines; Trionychidae
Rfam family: tRNA
About the family: Transfer RNA (tRNA) molecules are approximately 80 nucleotides in length. Their secondary structure includes four short double-helical elements and three loops (D, anti-codon, and T loops). Further hydrogen bonds mediate the characteristic L-shaped molecular structure. tRNAs have two regions of fundamental functional importance: the anti-codon, which is responsible for specific mRNA codon recognition, and the 3' end, to which the tRNAs corresponding amino acid is attached (by aminoacyl-tRNA synthetases). tRNAs cope with the degeneracy of the genetic code in two manners: having more than one tRNA (with a specific anti-codon) for a particular amino acid; and 'wobble' base-pairing, i.e. permitting non-standard base-pairing at the 3rd anti-codon position.
Source: Rfam
GGCACCAUGGUUUAGCUGGUUAAAACCCUUGCCUUGUAAGCAAGAGAUCCUAGGUUUAAAUCCCUGUGGUGCCU